CGCGGCCUAUCAGCUUGUUGGUGGGGUAACGGCCCACCAAGGCGACGACGGGUAGCCGGCCUGAGAGGGCGACCGGCCACACUGGGACUGAGACACGGCCCAGACUCCUACGGGAGGCAGCAGUGGGGAAUAUUGCGCAAUGGGCGAAAGCCUGACGCAGCGACGCCGCGUGAGGGACGAAGGCCUUCGGGUUGUAAACCUCUUUCAGCAGGGAAGAAGCGAAAGUGACGGUACCUGCAGAAGAAGCACCGGCUAACUACGUGCCAGCAGCCGCGGUAAUACGUAGGGUGCAAGCGUUGUCCGGAAUUAUUGGGCGUAAAGAGCUCGUAGGCGGUCUGUCGCGUCUGCUGUGAAAACUCGGGGCUUAACCCCGGGCCUGCAGUGGGUACGGGCAGACUAGAGUGCGGUAGGGGAGACUGGAAUUCCUGGUGUAGCGGUGAAAUGCGCAGAUAUCAGGAGGAACACCGGUGGCGAAGGCGGGUCU
RNAcentral lists this ribosomal RNA (484 nucleotides) under uncultured bacterium. RNAcentral describes it as "bacterial SSU rRNA". It matches the Rfam family "Bacterial small subunit ribosomal RNA", at positions 232 to 728 of the family's 1533-position model. The record is from RNAcentral.